AAUUACCAUUAUUAAUUUUUAAUUAGAAGUGAAAUAUUAAACGACUUUAAAUAUAUCUAGUUUUUUUAGAAUUGAAUUAAAUUCAGCUUUAAAAUUUUUUGAAAUAAAUUAAAUAAAUUUAUUUAUGAAUUAAAUAUUUUAAAGUAAAUAUAUUCGGGAUAAAUUGAUUAUAUGAGUUAUAAAUUAAUUUUAAUUUAUUUUAAAAGUAAUUAUAAAAUUAUAUUUCUUUUUAAAAAAUGUUUUAAUUUAUAUUUUUAAAUUUAUAUAGUAUAAUUUAAUUUUUAUUUUAAUAAUUUAUAAAAAUUUAAUAUUAAAUUAUUUUAUUUUAAAUAUAAUGAUUAUAUAAGUAAAUAUUAAUAAAAUGAAAUAAAUAAUUAUAAAAUUUUAAAAUUUAGAUUUAAGGAAUUAGGCAAAUAUUUUUAAAAUAAAAUUUAUAUUUACCUGUUUAUCAAAAACAUGUCUUAUUGAUUUAAAUAAUAAGUUUAUUCUGCCCAUUGAAAUAGAAAUUUUAAAAGGCUGCAGUAUAUUAACUGUACAAAGGUAGCAAAAUAAAUAGUUUUUUAAUUGAAAACUUGAAUGAAAGAAUUAAUAAAAUAUAUUCUGUCUCAAAUUUAAUUGAUUUAUUAAAUUUAAAUAAAAAGUUAAAAUGCUUUUAUAAUUUUAUUAGACGAUAAGACCCUAAGAAUUUAAUAAUUUUAUUUUAUUAAUUAAAUUUUAUAAUUAAUUAAUUAAUAAAAUAAAAUUUUUUUAUUGGGAGGGUAAUUGAAUUUUUAACCUUUAAUUUUUAAUAAA
RNAcentral lists this ribosomal RNA (792 nucleotides) under Polistes formosanus. RNAcentral describes it as "partial 16S rRNA". Lineage: Eukaryota; Metazoa; Arthropoda; Insecta; Hymenoptera; Vespidae. The record is from RNAcentral.